ACCUGUUACAGGGAGAUAGCCCGGGGAAACUCGGAUUAAUAUCCCAUAGUAUUAUUUUACUGCAUGGUAGAAUGAUUAAAGCCUUCGGGUGGUAACAGACGGGCAUGCGUAGGAUUAGCUAGUUGGUGAGGUAACGGCCCACCAAGGCGACGAUCCUUAGGGGUUCUGAGAGGAAGGUCCCCCACACUGGCACUGAGAUACGGGCCAGACUCCUACGGGAGGCAGCAGUAGGGAAUAUUGGUCAAUGGGCGAGAGCCUGAACCAGCCAUGCCGCGUGCAGGAAGACGGCGUUCUGCGUUGUAAACUGCUUUUAUCUGGGAAGAAAAAGCCCUUGCGAGGGAAAUUGCCGGUACCAGAGGAAUAAGCACCGGCUAACUCCGUGCCAGCAGCCGCGGUAAUACGGAGGGUGCAAGCGUUGUCCGGAUUUAUUGGGUUUAAAGGGUGCGUAGGCGGCUGAUUAAGUCAGCGGUGAAAGUUUUCGGCUCAACCGAGAGACUGCCGUUGAUACUGGUCAGCUUGAGUUAUGGAGGGGUACAUGGAAUUUAUGGUGUAGCGGUGAAAUGCAUAGAUACCAUAAGGAACACCGAUAGCGAAGGCAUUGUACUGGCCAUAAACUGACGCUGAGGCACGAAAGCGUGGGUAGCGAACAGGAUUAGAUACCCUGGUAGUCCACGCCGUAAACGAUGAUCACUCGCUUUAAAGUACGUAGUACUGUGAGGCCAAGCGAAAGCGUUAAGUGAUCCACCUGGGGAGUACGGUCGCAAGAUUGAAACUCAAAGGAAUUGACGGGGGUCCGCACAAGCGGUGGA
This 809-nucleotide ribosomal RNA is filed under the name Cyclobacterium sp. ENNN10_III. RNAcentral describes it as "bacterial SSU rRNA". It matches the Rfam family "Bacterial small subunit ribosomal RNA", at positions 128 to 936 of the family's 1533-position model. Lineage: Bacteria; Pseudomonadati; Bacteroidota; Cytophagia; Cytophagales; Cyclobacteriaceae. The record is from RNAcentral.